CGAUCUCCUUCUCCUUCUCCAUAACCAAGCACAACCUUGAGAAGAAGGAAAAGAAGAGUAAUAUUGAGUGCCGUGGUGAGGUAGUUGAUGCUGUUUCCGCCACGACUUUCGGUUCUUGCUCGGUGCCGCUGCCUCCUCCAUCAAGGUGUGAUAUUGAGUUAUUUCAUUAAUUCUCAAUUAUUUUAGAUCUCUAUUAGCACUUCUGUUACAAAUUUCUUAUAUAUUUUCAUCCAUAAUAAAAUUUCGUUAAUUCUCAAUUAUUUAUUUGUUAUUGGAUUGAUUUGUAAUGGAUUUACUCGUGAAUUUGUUCUAUGUUUGAGUGAUUUUUGCCAAUUGAGGUUAAUUGGAAGAAAUUAAGGGUUUCCUGAUUUCUCGAGGCUGUUUGUGGAAUUUUGGGGGAAUUUGAGAUGGAUAGGGGUUGCGGUGGUGGUUUCGUGGGUGCGGUGGUGGGUGUGGUGGUUGCGGUGGUGGUUUCGUGGAAUUGGAGAUGAAUCGUUGAAUUUGAUGUUUACCAACUGGUUGCUGUUGCCCUUUGCAGUUUUGUAUUAAAAAAGGAGUCCAAAUUUUACCAGAGACGUGGAAGGUUUGUGGUUGAAUCUACAUUCAGAUGUUAGUACCCGGGAUUCACAAAUUUCCUUGUCGACAUACUGAUGAUUAGUUGCUGUUUCAUAGUUUUUAAAGUACUAGGCUUGGACCCAACAUUGAAUGAUGAUACCUGCGAUCUUCCAAGGCCGUUGUGCUCAAAGUUUAUGAGAUUAUGUCAUGGAAGAGGUUAAGAAAGCUGGCUUUACUGAACCCACUGCUAUUCAAGCUCAAGGAUGGCCUAUGGCCCUAAAGGGUCGUGAUCUUAUUGGUCUUGCUGAAACAGGAUCAGGGAAAACACUUGCCUACUUGCUACCUGCUAUUAUACAUGUCAAUGCUCAGCCAAUUUUAUCUCCUGGUGAUGGUCCAAUUGUGUUAGUUCUGGCUCCAACUAGGGAACUUGUUGUACAAAUACAACAAGAAGCCACUAAGUUUGGCACUUCAUCAAGGAUUAAAAAUACCUGCAUUUAUGGCGGGGUUCCUAAGGGACCUCAAGUUCGUGAUCUCAAGAAAGGUAGGUGCUGCUUGAGUUUGACAUGACUUUGUCCGUCAAAGGGAGGGGACAAGGAUAUUCGAGAUGCUUUCCUAUCAUAUUGCGACUUUCGUGAUCUGCGCUACUUGUUUUAGGUGGGACAAGUGAUCCUUGUCUUUACAGCUCGUUCUAACGGCACUAAUCACUGCAUUGGGAAGUGUGUUGGCUGUUGUCCAACUGUGCCGGGAAAGAAAUCUGGAAAUAUAUAUGCCAUGAAAAAAUUGAAGAAAUCCGAAAUGCUUAGUCGAGGACAGGCCGGUGCAAGAAUCUAGCAAGCAAGGUGUUCUUCCUGGCAAACCAGUUCCUGAUCAGGGAGUGAGUAUUCGCUUGCAGGCUGGUCGAGUUAUGCAUCAGAGGGAGAAUGGAAAAGCAGGUCAGCAAGGGGAUCAUUUGAUGAGGGAGGCUGAUGUUGGUAGUCAAGGUAGUAGUGCUGACAGGCUUCAAUCGGUGGCUGAUGCAAUUCUGUAUGGAUGUGAGAGGGAGGGGGGCUGUUUUUACUCAUUGUUUGGGUAGCUGGGUGGCCUGGUCUGGCUUUGGCUCAUGGCUGCUGCUGGUUCCCUGCUGCUACUGGUUUUGGUUUCAGUGUUGAACUGGUAAUGGCUGAUCAGCUGCUUUUUGUUGCUGGUUUCCCUGUUUUGUUGUUGCUGUUUGAUGUUGGGUUGGCUGCUGCCUGUUUUUGGCUUCAGGGUGCUGCUGUGCUUGUGGCCUGCGUGGGGUUUAGUGCUGUUCUUGGGCUUUUGAAGCUGCUGCUGCUGUUGUUGGGCUGCCUGUUGCUGGGGUAUUGCUGUUUUUCUUUUGGUGUAGCUGCUGCUGGUGCCUAAUGUUUUCUGCAGGUUGGUCUGUUGCCACCUGUUGGCCUGUUCUGCGGGGGGCUGCUGCCACCUGCUGCAGUGCUGCUGUGUUGCUGAGUUGCCGUAUGUGUUCGGGAAGCUAUAAUCUUGUAUUUUAUUUUGAUUUAUAUUUUAUUUUUUUGGACGAAAAUUGUAAUAUUACAGCCUUUUUUAAUGAAAAAAUG
Molecule: long non-coding RNA, 2129 nt
Organism: Chenopodium quinoa (quinoa)
Lineage: Eukaryota; Viridiplantae; Streptophyta; Magnoliopsida; Caryophyllales; Amaranthaceae
Exons: 6
Source: RefSeq, a predicted model, not a curated record